Long non-coding RNA from Equus quagga, 6460 nucleotides. RefSeq lists it as uncharacterized. The transcript has 10 exons. NCBI's taxonomy places the organism in Eukaryota, Metazoa, Chordata, Mammalia, Perissodactyla, Equidae. The record is from RefSeq and is a predicted model, not a curated record.
UGCUAGCUUACGCUAGAAUAACAGUGAGGCAGUGGUAUUUGUUUGAAAAUGAAAGGAUUAUAUGGUCUUUGUAAAACGAGGAAUUUAGUUUUGGGGAGGGGCAGUGAAAUGGUGAUUUAUUUUUUGUUGAUGUUCCUAUGAAUCCUUUGAUAUGUCAAGUUCUGUCACUGAGUAUUAGGACAUUUGUAAUUUCUUGAAUCAACCAAGAGGAGGUACAUACGGGCUCAAAUAAUUUAUGUCAAAAACUCAACUGUGCAACCUAAAUGCCAGCCACUUAUUGUAAGACGAGAGUGGGGAUGGGCUAGUUGGUUUUUAAAAAUCUGCAGCUAGUUAAAUUUUGUGUCUUAGGGGGAAAAAGCCACCGUUCUCCCGACAUUGAUUAAUGGUAAGCGGAGUGUUUCUCGGGCUUUCAGUUUUACUCCAGGAAGACGGGAUACAAGCAGUCGCUCCUCACAGUUUUGGUUCCGUUCCUGGGGGAACCUGGUCCUGCCUCCAGGACAACAUAGAGCCUCUGCGAUCAGUGCUCAGAAGUCGGGGAUUUUUAGGAGGCGUCCUGGGACCCUGCUAGUGUGAAAUGUGUCUCCUCUUCCCCAUCGGCCUCCUUCCCCGCACUCGGAGUCCCCAAGGGCGGGGGCCACGGGGGCUGAUGACCCACCACUUCCUCCCCCAGGAGGGGUCGCAGGGCCCAGCACGUCCUGGACCCUUCAUUUGCAUUUGUGGGGUGUUACAUGAGUGAGUGCAGUCCACUCUUCAGGUGAAGACACGGAGGCCCCAAGAGGUGACACUACUUAGCAAAGGUCACCCAGCCACCCACCAGCACAUCUGGAUCUCAGAUGCAGCGUUCUGGACUCUGGGUUCAGAACCUUUGAAGAAUAUGGUACAGUUAUGCUCACUGAUGGCUUGCCCAUGUCGCUUUUCCCGUGUGCUGUCAUGUAACAAAUUGACUUCAAAGAAUGCCUUCUAUGAAACAUUAGAAAUGAAGCAUGUUCUGUCAUCAGCUGAAAGCAUACGAUGUUCACAAGAACUGUGCUCGAUCGGAGAAUAUUUGGCUUUUGCAAGGUGUCCCCUUGUCCAGGAAGUCUUUCCCUGCAGCGCUGACAUCCAGCCUCGGUUUGACCUGAAGCUAAAGCUGGAGGGCAGGGAUCAUACGGCUUGUGGAGUUCAGACGAGCACGGUGACCCCAGGGCACGGGGCCUCCUUCCUCAGCCCUGGGAGGGACAACUACGUGACUCGGCAGAUUCGUUGCCUCAGUUUACUCUUCUCUAAAUGGAUAAUGCUGAGGCAAUACAGAGAGAAUUGGAUGAGUGGGCAUACACAGGGUCUCACAAGUAUCUGAGGUCAUCAGUUGCUAAGUAGACCCACACUCUGCAUCAGGAGCUCAGCUCCAAGCAGAAUUCCUAUUUAGGACAUUGAUCUCCAAAUUCUUCUCAUUUGAAUGUCUUGACUCAUCAACAUGAUAAACUCCUUGAGUAUCUUUUCAAGCGUAUUCUAAACAACACCUAAAAUCAGGCUGGGUAGAGAGAGCUGAGCCAAUCUUUGCCUAACUGAUGAAUUACAACAGAAAAUUGCACUGCAGAGGACAGAACUGAGUUUGGCAAUUGAAAUCAUUCCCUAACUCGUGUUGCCCUUCUGACACCCUCUCACCUCCGCCUGAGGCUUCCCGAGUGACGGACGGACAAUCCUAGUGAAAGAUUGAAGAUUGAGAGGAAGUGUUUUUAAACAAAAAAAUAAUAUUUUCGGAGAUUUUCUUAAAUUGAUUAGAGGGAAAAAUAUGCCUGACAUUGGAAAAAUGAGUUCAAAGCCUGCGGUUUUACAGAGGUGGUUGUGUCCUUUUCUCCUUCUGUUCAACUCCUAAGGCCCACCAUCAAUGAAGUCUUCCCUGAGAUCAUGAGAGCAGUAAGAUCAGAGAAUUUAAGACCCAGGAGUGAUGUUAUUAAGGAGGUAAAAUUCCCUAAUAUUACAGAUGAAGGAGCUGAGGCCUGGGGAGGUUGUCGGAUCUGCCCAAGGUCAGCCAGCACCCAUGCAUCCUCUUCCAACUGGCCACCUACUUUGAUACUCAUGCCAUUGAUGUGAGCAUCUAACCACAGCAUGCAUGCUCUCCAUCUCCAUCUUGUUGUCUCUAUUAGAAGCACAGGCUCCUGGACGGCAGAAAAUAUGCGUGAUAUAUUUUUUUUCCCGCGAUUAUAUUCCCAUUGUAACAUGUUGCUGGAUAGCAGAUGGUGGUGUCACUGCUGGUUGAAUUUCCAUGAAUAUAGUAAAUGGCUAUUGAAAGAUAAACUGAGGGAUAUUAAAAAUUUUAAGAGUUUAUUUGAGCCAAAAUCAAUUUGAAUUGGGCAGCGCCAAAUCGGAAGUGGUUAGGAAGGAGCAAUCCACUGACAGGAGCUGGGGAGAGACCUCUGCAGGGAAGAGGCAGAGCGAAGCCAGGAAACCAUUGACUGGCUGUUCCUUAAAGCCUAGUUGGCUGUUGUGAUGGGUCAUCCUUGGGUUUCAGUUUCACGACCUGGAGGCAUUUACGGGCUUGGAUUUUGACUUGCUCACGACCGUCACCACGGCAUUACAGCCUCCUCAUCUGAUGGCCUCCUUGCUUAAUUACUCUAAUAUUACCGAUUGGUGGAGCUGUCAUAGGUGGUUAAGCUCUUUAAUCAGGGCCCACUUAGAGUCGUGUCUUUGGGUUGCUGUGUUCACAACGUGCAUCCGUAUUCCUUAGUUUUCUUGGUAUCAGUGGACACAUUCUGUACUUUGAAGUUACUGGUAAUGUCAAACUUGGGAAGCACUUUAUGUGUUUAUUUUCAUUGUGCUCAUGAAUUCAUUUCUCCUUUUGUAAAAUGCAGCUCGCAUCCCUCCCAGGGGUGCAGCAGCCAGAGACCACAGAAAGCCACAGGAGCACAGAAAUAAAAAUUAGGAGGCUUGGAUGCUUGUGCAGACCUUCCCACUAAUUGACACGUGACCUUGGGCCAAUAAUCAAACCUCUCCUGGUCUCGUCUUUCUCUGUAAAGUGAAGAAACGCGACCACAUGUCUCCAGCGGCCCUUCCGGCUCUGACACUCUGUGCUUGAACGGAGAACAGAUAGAUCAGGUGAGGGGUUUGGCGAAGGGCCUGCGGGUGUGCCCCCUCUCUGGUGACCUUGUCCUCACACAGGUGUAACUAGGAGUGUUGCCACAGUCACUGCUGGGAGCAAAGCUGGAAGAAAUUUCUGCUGUGCCUCCUAAGCCAAGUGUGUAGUAUGCCCUGGUGCCAUUGCAGUCAGUGGCUCGGGGGCAACUCGUCCCUUGGAAUAAAAGCUCCAGGAAAUGCUGGGCUGCGUGGCAUCGGCACUCUCAUUCUUCCUGUGCUUCCUCCAGGUGGCUCGUGCCCUGAAAGGGACGCCUUCAGAGGCAGGCAAGAAGGGGCCACUCACGGGAGUGAGGAGGAGGUGGCGUCCUGGGAGGGAAGCGGCCUGUGCUGCCCUCCCAGCCCCACCAGUCCUGUCUCGAUUUGGGUGCCGCGAUUGUCCUGCGUCCCUGCAUCCGUGAGAUGGCAGUGGCCUGCUUCCAUGGCUUCCUUCUCUGGGAACAAAUACUAUAUUUGUCAUUCCAACCUCAGUUUCUUUGCUCAGCCCAAUGGAUGUCAGGUCCUUAGCGGAGAGCGCGGAGGGGUACUCGGUUGUCCACACCUGCGGUUUCAGGAGAUGCAGGACACCAUCUAGUCCUCGGCGGUUACUCUUGUCCACACUUCUCGUUUCACGGACGAGGCGCUGAAGCCCAGAGAGAUCAAAGGUCUUCCACUCGGCUGUUGAGGGGAAGGAACCUGACGUCCUGACAUGCGCGUUGAUGUGCCCAGGGAGGAGCCACGGGGGGUCUGGUCUUCUCGGACGGCGCCCCAGUUUCCUCCUGCAUCAGAAGGCGAGUACUGUGUCUGGACGGUACUGUGCACAGCUGCUUCUGGCUCAGCUGCUCGUAAACUCCACAUCUGAGAACACAGCAGAAAAGAUGCAAGUACUGACUCGGAGCUGGUGACCCUGGGAACCAUGUUUGUGAGGGACUUUGCUGCUGCCACAGGAGCCUGAGGUGGCCGGUGACAAGUUGGGAGAAGUGGCCUGAGUGUGGUGUAUUUCAUUGGUCUACACUGAAUUUGCACGAAAGCAGCGGUUCAAGUGUGUAAUCGUGCAGUUCUGUGGGAAAUGUCCUGCCAGUGGUUCAGCAGACCCUUGUUCUUUGGAGAAGGAAAUUAUAAAAUACCUAAUUUCAUGUCUGCACACGGCCCCCAGGGAGUGGUGUGAGAGGAAAAAGCCACCAGUUACCAAGUACCUACUGGGUACACUAUGCUCAGGAAAUGCCAUUCACUCGUCUUGACGCUCAGAUGCUGAUGGUCUCUCUGCAGCCUUCCUGCGAUGCCCGAGUGUUCCUUCUGUCCUAGCAAUCUUAGCAGUGUCACCUUUGCUCAUUGACCCCAAACUAAACACAUGAAGAGGGCCUCGUCCACUUCUCUGUGCCUCAGAAUGCUGGGUCUUCCUCCUGCCGGGGCGCCGGCUGAUCCGUCUGUCUUGGGGACCGUCCCUGUGAAAGUCUCGUUGGUUCUUUCCGAGAACUCAUCGGGAGGGAAAACUUACAGUGGUACCAACGUGUAUUGUAACAAAAUGCAAGGAAGGUUGACUCAAAGGGGCAUUUUCUAAUAGAAUUUCAGGCAAAAGAACAUGGUUAAAUGGAAAAACAUAGCUUUUAAAAGAAAAUGCUGUUAUGACUAUUGCUUUUUUAAAAAUCUGUAAAGUAAUAUUGUACAAAAAAUUGCUUCCUUUCCCAGUACGUGAACAGUCCCCAUGGAUAAAAAAGUCACAUUUCCAAUCAUCCAACUCAUUCACUCAUUGCAAAGGCUCGAUGGCACACCUCUUAGGUUCUAGGCCGUGUGCUGGCCAUGCGAAGGUGAAAGAGACACUGUCCCUCAUAGUCUGUGACAUCUGGGACAAACCGGGAGAGUGGGAGGGGAUCUGGGAAGUCAUACAGCCUAGAGUCGCAUGUAAGACAGGGUCACAUCUAUGACAACUUGGGCGAGUGGCCACUUCUGCUCCCGCCCCUCCCGUGACGGGCACUGCCUGCUUGGGGACGAGUCGCUGCAUUUAUGACUCCCUCGGUUGUGCUGUGUUUGCUCAUAUUGCUCCCAAAUUUGUCUUCUUUUAUUUCUGCUUCAUAGUUCUUCUGGUUCUUUCUCUUGGAGCUACACAGAAGGCGCCUGGGGAUUUUGGAGAAAGUCCGUGUGACUCUCGGUUCCCCCGUGUCCUCUUCCCAGUUUCCUGCCGCCGUCCUCAUUGGCUGGGAAUAGUCUGCACAAUGGAAGUAACUGGAUUUUGGAGUCAGACUUGGGGCUGGGCCACAUUCUAGCUGCAAGAGCUUGGACACACAUUUGUUAGCAUUUUGAGUGAUAAUAAGCCCGUAUUUUCUCACUUGUAGAACAGAGACAAAAAUCCCAUCUCAUAAGAUUGUUCUGAAAAUAAACCGAGGAAAUCUGUGUGAUACGCCAGCACAGACUCCACACGUCCUUGGGCAUAAUAAACACUUGUCGUCAAGUGACCGGGUGAACGCAGGGUUUCACUGCUCUCCUCUCAUUGUUCCGCCCUGGACCCAUCCCGGCUGCUCAUCGGCUCCUUUAAAAUAAGGUGUUCAGAUCUGAGCGUGGGAUGUCAAUCUAGGGAAAGGAGUAGUGACUUUAUUUCUUGGGUUUAUCUGAACUUUUACUUAUGGAAGCUGAUCGUAUGUAUUUUAAGCAGCCUUCCAUUAUGCAAUGUGUUUUACAAUACGUAGGUUCCUUGAAUUUGUCGUUCAGCUAAGAACCUCAGAUUUUGUUUGUUUGUGGUAAAACUAGGUUUCUUGACCCCAGUGGGUGGAAUUGACUUAUCAAGCCCGAGAGCAGGAUUUUCACAUCCCUUCUGGUUGAGUUGCAGGCAGGUCCUCGGGCGCCCGUCUCAGAUUUUGAGCUGGAGCGGAAUCUGGACUCACCGUGGAUUUUAUUGCUGUCUCCCCUAACUUGGUGUGUGUCAUCUGCAGUUUGGUUGAACAUAUUUAUUUUAAAAUUUGAGGCUGAUCUGGCUGCCGUAUCUUUUCUCAUUGAUUGCCAGGAUAGGAUCAGCGUUUGAGGACUGCAAAGCAAGCAUCCCACACUUCUCCUUAAAUGUGCUCCCCAUUGAAGAAUGUGACCUUCCAGCUUGGAGGAGGAAUUUCCUUCCAUCAAGGGCAUGCCUUCUAUAUCUUCAUCUGGUCAAUUUACAAAAACACCAAGGUGGAACAUGGACUAAUGCAAAAUCUGGCCAUAUACCACUUUUCUCCAGAAGGGUUCAAAUCCAGGUCCCCUUUGGAGUGUAUUUACUGUUCAACCAACCAGGAAUCCAUCUAGUAACACUAUUGUCCGUCAGGUCCUACAUCACCAUUGUGAAGGAACCUCACAAAUGUGCCACACAUCGAGAUGCAAGGUGUAAACAAUAAUGAUGGCA